CAGUGCGCAGGCGCCAUCGGGCAGGUAGCGCGAGAACAGCUGAUUGGCGUUAGGGCGUUUGGCCAGGCCGCCAGCUGCAAAUGUAGUAUGCGCGCUCCUCUCUCGCCAAGGAUGGACAUCAUCCCCAGGAGAGAUGGAGUAACUCUUCAGCAUCAGCAGAUAGGCUCUAGCCUUGCCUUUCCCAGCUAAAACACUGCCACUUCCCCUACUCCUGACUAUGCUCUAAACUUAGGUUUUGGCAAUUACUGAUUCCCAGUUGCUUGGAAAAAAAGGAAAUGCGUUCUUUAAAAGACAACAGACUCGUGGAAUCCCUUCACUCUUCCUUCAAG
This is a long non-coding RNA of Fukomys damarensis (Damara mole-rat), 329 nucleotides long. RefSeq lists it as uncharacterized. The record is from RefSeq and is a predicted model, not a curated record. NCBI's taxonomy places the organism in Eukaryota, Metazoa, Chordata, Mammalia, Rodentia, Bathyergidae. The transcript is spliced from 3 exons.